CGUAGUUGUUUUUCAGAUCCUUGUCAACUAAAAACUCAAGCUUGUUUUCCUGAUGAAUCUUCUUUACCCAGUCAAGUAUAGCUCCUUUCCUGUUUGCUGACUUCCCAAAAUCCAUAGCUCGUAAGCCAGAUAUUAAUUCAAGUAAAAGAAUUCCAAACCCAAAAACAUCUGUUUUCUCAGAGGAUUGACCUGUUGAGAGAUACUCCGGGGCUAUGUGUCCCAUAGUACCUCUCAC
This 235-nucleotide unclassified non-coding RNA is filed under the name Hevea brasiliensis (rubber tree). Lineage: Eukaryota; Viridiplantae; Streptophyta; Magnoliopsida; Malpighiales; Euphorbiaceae. The record is from RNAcentral.